CCAACCUCAAGCUAUGCAAAUGUCAUGACUCCUUAGUCUACAAUAAGAGAAAUGACACUAUCGUUAUCGUUUUAGCAUCGUAAUUAUUAUGUAUCGGCCACAACCUAUUUCACAAUGAAAUGGAAAGCACCUCCCCUAUAUAUAUAACUUCACACAAGUCAAAACAAUCACAAACAACCCAACAUAUCUCUAUCACUUCAUACACAACACGACAACCAUAAUAGUAUCAAAUAAUCCGAAAAUGUUACGACGAACGACCAACAAACAACCUUGCCAUUAUGUGGUGUUUCUCUACACCCUUCCUCCUCUCAACUCUAUGAAAACAAUAGCAAAAGAGACAAACCAAUACCAACACAAAACCGCCUACAAAAUAGUCCCACAAGUUCAUCAGCUCAAAAGUAAUUUUUCAGUUUACUUAAACACGUUUCGACUUGUCUUUUCUCUCAAUUGAGAAACACAACCAAAAGUACAUAAUUAUACCUCUUAUCCAAUAAACCAGCCAUGAAUUCAACUUAAAAAUAAGUUCACAACCAGCCAACCAUUACACAAGAACAAACAACAUACCAUUCUUUCGAAACUAGCUAGGUCUAUUCUGUAUGAUCGAGUUACAACUCGCAAACGCAUAGAUAAUGGAAGGAUAAGCAUAAACGAACCUUGUACUGACUAUAAUCAACGAAACCUGGUCCUUCUUCAUCAAAAAUAAGUUCCUCAACAUGGCUACAAGAAGGAGAAAGAGAAACUAGCAAGCUGUUCGGACUUUUCAGCACUAGAAUCGCAUCGUAACACCCGGAGUACCCUAGGGUUUGUGUGGGAUUUUUGGGUAGGAGUUGCAGGGGCUCAAUUAGGUUUUCUUGGUCUGAAAGAUAGGUGAAAUAACUGUGUUGAUAGUUCCUUAAAUGACCCCUCUUGGCCGACUUUGGGGUUUUUAAUUGAGUCCUCUCAUUUUGGCAAGUAGGUGAUGCACCUACUAGUUACCUACCAGCCUGCGCAUUCUCGCAAAAGUACGAGUAUCUCUCUACUCUGACUCUGUAUCGACAAACAAUUUAAUGCUUUAGAAAACUAGAUGCAUAGAUCUUUAAUUUUGUUGGUAGAUCAUCCCCUAAUUCCAAGUAUAUUAGGAGAAAAGCUCAGUUACAUUUGACCUAAUUUUCAGCACAUUUAUGAAUAGAACUUGUGAUGACCUUUUCCAACUUUUGUUCCAUAACUCGCUUGACAUCAAAACAUAACACCAACUAUCAUACGACUAAAAUAACUCAUAUUAUAAUCUCCUUAUAAUGUUAAUAACCCUAGUUUCAUCCCAAAAGUACAUGGUAAAACAUUCCAACUUGUUGACUUUCGACGAAACUUAUUUUCUUCAAUUUGUUUAGCUUCUAAGCCUUUAAACCCUCUUGCUACUUGGGAUUAAUGAUCUUAAAUAUUUGUAACAUCCGUGUUAACAUGAUGAACUAAAUUUGUAAACUUUUCAAAGAUGAUUCCCUUUCUGAGCUUACAUUAAUUGACUUAUGCCGUACUCUUAUGUACGAAAACAUAUGGUGUAACAUCAUUCCCCCCUUUGGAAUACUCGUCCUCGAAUGUUGACUAAUGCGCUUAUCAGUCUCAUAACCCGUAGCUCUUAAGAAUACUUUAAUAUUGUCUUUGACAUCUAGGAAACUGUUCUGUAAAUAAAUCCAAAGGCCAGGGUAUUCCCCCCUUUAGGCCUCUUUCUCAUACCACAACUUGUGGUCGGAAUUUUUCCAAUCUCAUAAAUAUUGUUACCUUCUGACAUGCAUCAUGUACAGUUGUGUACUUGUAUGUGUGCCUAUGCGACUCUUCUCUCCUUUUUCCUCCAACUUUUAGCCAAUCUCUAGGCCUCACUUUAUGAACAUAUACAGAACUAUGACAAGAUGUCCCUCAAGGCAUAUAUAGGUGUACUAAAGUUCUUCGCUUGGUACUUUAUCGAACUUACGACUAUUGCUAUAUCUUGUUUCAUAGCCUUGUAUAUCUAUCCUUAUGGCUUUUCUACAUCUAGGUAGGUUAUACUAUACCAUAACACUUACUUUUGUUUAUUUUUAUCGAGGUUUGCUACCCAACUCCAGGUUAUUCUCUCGCUACUUAUCCUAUAUGUAUAAAUCUAAGUCAUUUAAUGCUUCCUUAUUAAUGUUCAUCUAAAUAAUGGCAUCAUAAUCUCCUCUCAUAUUUUGGAACUCUUAUCCAUCUAUUAUUGAUUCACCUUAAUGUUGAUCUAUAAUCCACCACUAAUAACUUGAAACCUCUUACGUAAUACAUUGUCACUAGGGCUCACGUCUCAUCGAGGAACAUCUGAAGUGGCUUUCCUUAUCCACCUAGGGACAAUACCAUACUUCAAUAACCUUAUUUUAUAGCAUCCCAAUGUGAUUCGUCUUAUAUUCUAAUCCUGUGCCAUCCAUGAAAUCUCUUCUCUUUGAAUCAUUACUCAAUUGAAGGCCUAAAUAUCAUCCUUUUAUUAUUUACCACAAUUACACCCUUACAUUACGACUAGGGAAGCAUUCUAUCUCUUCUAAAUGCUCCUAGUCUUAGAAUCCUCCGUGUUAAUUCAAGCUAUACUGAGCUUUUUAUAACAUACAUAAACCAUCAUCUCUCUUGUUUGAUGGGCUUAAUACCAAGGUCUUACCUAUUCUUGUCAACUCCUAACUUAGCUUUUCUUAUCCUUACUCCCAUAUACCUAAAGUCUUGUCACUCUGCCAUACUUUAGCUUGCGACCUACAUAUAUCUAUUUGUAAUACUCACAUCCUUCCUUUAACUUGCUAGCACCACAGAUUUCCUUUUGUGCCUUCUCAGUUGUCUUUAAAUGUAAGCAAUUACUUUUCCUGGCCGUUCUGCCAUUUGUUGCAUGAAUACUUGGCUUGUCUUAUUGCCCACGAAUACUAUAAUUUCAUGUACCUCAUAUGAUCUCAAACAUCACCUUUGAUUUGUUUUCCCAUUCAUUAGCCAUUAUAGGCACCACUUUCUUAUGGAGUGCAUCCAAUGUUGUAGUGAGACUAUUGUUACCAGACCAAUUCUUCUUCAAGUUAAUAUGCUUAGGUUGAAGCCCUUUUCCUUAUUUCCUGAGCUAGUCUUUCGUGGUAGUACUUAGGAGACUUUCUGGAUCUUGUAAAGUUGCGAGCUUGAUAUAUCGUACACCUGAAGGAAAUUUUCGUUGUUCUUACUCGCCUAUAAUAAUCCUUAGUUAAAUAACUUUGUGCCCUUGUGCUCGUAGGGUUACUUCUAAGCUCAAAUUUUCAUUGUCUCUUUAGUGGUACUCUCUCUUAUUUUCAUAAAACUUAAACGGUACCUUUAACUGCCUCAACUCCUAUCUAAAUUUUUUUAGAUGAUUGUGAUCUCAUAUCUAUGAGACUAAAUUCCCUAUGAUGUGGUUCAAUACAUUUAUAUUGCAUGAUCUUUUAAUUUAUCUGUGACCUCUUGUUUAGCCAUAACCGGGCUCUUCCUGAAUCAACUACUAAUUACUCGUUGGUCCAUUCUCAUAUAUAUAUUUCGCAUAAGCUCUCUUGGGAUAUAUCCUUUGUCUUAACUUACCUCUCGCCACUAGCUCCUGAUGUUUCAAGUGUCCAUUCACACUUAUUUAUCAAUAACAUCCUGGCUGAAAACUUUUACUACCUUUCCCCGGUAUCGUGCUUGUAUAAAGUUCUGGAGUCACAACAUAUCUGUAGGAACUGAAUAAAUGCAACAUCAUCCCUUUCUCCUUUUCACCACAUUCUUCCUUUACCAUUCCAUAGUUACCUAGACCGCUUAACUCCGACUUAAUACCAUAUCAUACCACAUUCCCUCCUUUAGGGGAGUACUAAGAUUUAGUACUAUGAUGAUCUAGCUAUAGAUGUUUUACCUCUUCAUCUUUGGCGUCUUUUCACAUUAUAAAUGAACCUUAAUCGCCUUAUGGUAAUUUUUUGUACCAGGGAUAACUAAAUUUCUUAUGCAGAAGGUGACACCUAGUGUAAUUGGCACAUUUAGUCCCUUAAGCUUAACUUUGCUCACAUUGCUCGCUUUAGGGAAACCUCUUCCUGAAUGACCUUUAAAGGUUAUUCUUCUAUUGUCCAUUUUAUUAUUGUUGGAACACGAUCUCCGAAAUUCUUAUGAGGCUGACUAUUACCAAAUACUUCGAUCCCUAAUUCAUGUUCAGUUUAUCUUAUUCUCCAUCCCAUACUGAUUUCUAUUACUCCGGGGUCUAAUCUUUCCUUAUGGUAAUCACGUUAGAGUCACCAAAUCAUUUCUCGAAAUGGGAAUAUGACUUUAUGUCUUAUACUCUUUUAUUGUCUUAAGUCCUGUCACCUCUUAUAUCUUCCUUCACUUGACUAUAAACUUUAUCAUCAUGUCGUAUUUUGAUUUACUGUUAUCACCCAUUUAUUACAUCUUACUCAUAAUGCUUUAUUUACUCUCUUCUUAUUCUCCGGCUAAUAUUUCUGUCUAUCACUUUAUUCUGAUAACUUCAACAAAUCAUUCUUUCACUUUUAGCUCCCCUUGCUUCAUCUCACUGGCUCUUUAGGUCACCUAGCAUUCUCUCUUUACUAGGAACGGGAGCCAUACAAAGGUAAAUAUUUAUCCCUUCUAGGAUUUCAGUGCCAAUCUUCUAAAAUUUCUGAACAUUCAUGUAUUCAUAUAUGAUUGUACUAUACUAUGGUGCACCAUCUGGGUGUCUCACAAGGAGAUCUGUUACCACGUUUUCACUAUCCGUCAAAAAUGUUAGCUAAUGAUAACAAUCCAUCUACAAAUUUGGGCUACUCUAACCCCAGCUGGAUCCUAAUAUCCCAUUCUUCUUUUAAACUAUAUUUGUUAGCUCCCAUAGGGCAUAAUUUCGAUGGGCGUGGCCAAUUGUACAUACCUCUGUUGCUGUUGAAUGUAACUCAUAAUACAUAUAUUUCUCUGCCUGAAUUGUAAAACUCAAAACCUUCACUAACUGGUACCUCGUAAUCUUUGUCACCUUGCUUCUUUUAUUUGUUGAAACUUGUAUCUACCUUCUGAUUCUCUUGUUGAUUUUUAAACCAUAUGGGUGGAUAGAUAUUCACGCCUUACGCCUGCUUAUCAAUAAACUUUCACGCUUUAGUACACAUAUAAUCUACUGAAGACCUUACAUUUACUCAUCAUAAGCAUGAUACAAAUUUAUGUUUCAUUGACUCAACUCUUCCAUAACAAAGUUUCUCUUACCUACUAUCUGUUUGGAUGAGGAAUCAUUGUGUUACAAAUAAAAUAGAAUUUACAAGUUUGAAUUCUUACAAUUGUGCUCUACCACACGAUCUAGAGUAAGAAGAAAGAGUGACAGUAAUAAAUGCCCUGCAGCCUCCUACUUAUAAGUGUAGUGCACUACACACCCAUAAAUAAGACUCUACUAGACACGGCUUGUAGACUCCCUAGAACAGAACUGCUCUGAUACCACUUCUGUCACGACCCAAAUUGGAGGGCCGCAAUGGGCAUCCGGUGCCUUACCCAACCGAGUACCAACAUAACGUAUUCUUUCUUAUCAUACCAUUAUGGGUAAAUAGGAUGGAAGGGUCGUCAUGAUAUAACCAGAAUGAAACAUAAGGGAAUACUCAACAUAGGAUGACCCAACAUGAUAUACAACCUUAUACACGUGACAUGCCUAUAAGACCAAAAUGAACACUCGUACAUUGAACAUAUGUUGACAAGGCCAUACAAUCUUUCAUAUGCAUGACAUCUGUCUACAAGCCUCUAAGAGCACACACAUAUUAUAAGGUCGGGGCAGGACCCUGCCAUACCAAUGAAUACAUGUCCAAAUCAUAUUGACCAAAUAGGCAACUCCGGAGAAAGUGUUGUGCACCAACACCUUCUGUUGAGCUAAUAGCCUACUAGGAUGUCAACCUAUCUAUCGGGACCUGUAGCAUGAAAUACAGUGUCCCCAGGCAAAAGGGACAUCAGUAUAAAUAAAGUACCGAGUAUGUAAGGCAGGAAAACAUAAAUAAGAACAGUAAUGUAAAGAGAGAUAGAGGAGAUACAACCUGUAACAUCUGAGUGCCUCUAGGGGCUACUGACAUGAAAUGCAUAAUACAUAUAUAUACAUAAACUUUUUAAAAGCAUACGUCUUUGUGGGCAUCAUCAUCAUCACAUCGUACCCGGCCUCAAAGAGGACCUGGUAAAAAAAACGUACCCGGCCAUCAUAAGGCUCAGUAGAAUCGGACCCGGCCACGUGGAGCUCGGUAAUCCCAACCGAUUAGUUGUUGCACAAUAGGUGUCGUACUCGGCUGACUAUAGCGCACCUCGGUAGAGUAAAAUAGAUACAUAUAUAUAAUGCAUGCUCGACUCAUGGAAUCAUGCUCUAAACCUUUUAGAGUGAUGUAUGGUCAGUAUCCUCUGUACACAUUAUCAGGACUAACUCUUCACUAUGAACCUUAUAAGAAUCAGGAAGUAUCAACAACAUUGAUAACAUAAGAAUAAGAGAAGCAACAUCAACAUCAAUUGUUCCAUAAGAGGGGAAACAAUUUAAGUACUGCUAGCUUCUAAGAGUAGAGUAUCUUUGGAAGAUCGUUCAUUACAUUACGUACAAUCGGAGUCAUGCAAAAGAAGGAAAAGGAUAGCCUCACAUACCUUGUAUAUGUACUGCCCAACCUCAAGCUAUGCAAAUGUCAUGAUUUCUUAGUCUACAAUAAAAGAAAUGACACUAUCGUUAUCGUUUUAGCAUCGUAAUUAUUAUGUAUCGGCCACAACCUAUUUCACAAUGAAAUGGAAAGCACCUCCCCUAUAUAUAUAACUUCACACAAGUCAAAAAAAUCAGAAACAGCCCAACAUAUCUCUAUCACUUCACACACAACACGACAACCAUAAUAGUAUUAAAUAAUCCGAAAAUAUUACGACGAACGACCAACAAACAACCUUGCCAUUAUGUGGUGUUUCUCUACAUUAUUCCUCCUCUCAACUCCAAAAAAAAGUAGCAAAAGAGACAACCCAAUACCAACAUGAAACAACCCACAGAACAGUCCCCUAAGUUUAUCAACUCCAAAGUAAUUUUUCAGUUUACUUAAACACCUUUCGACUUGUCUUUUCUCUCAAUUGAGAAAAACAACCAAAAGUACAUAGUUAUACCUAUUAUCCAAUAAAACAACCAUGAAUUCAACUUAAAAAUAAGUUCACAAUCAGCCAACCAUUACACAAGAAUAAACAACAUACCAUUCUUUCGAAACUAGCUAGGUUUAUUAUUUACGAUCGAGUUACAACUCACAAACGCAUAGAUAAUGGAAGGAGAAGCAUAAAAUUACCUUGUACUGAGUAUAACCCACGAAACCUGGUCUGUCUUCAUCAAAAAUAAGUUCCUCAACACGGCUACAAGAAGGAGAAAGAGAAACUAGCAAGCUGUCUGGACUUUUCAGCACUAGAAUUGUGUCGUAACACCCGGAAUAUCCUAGGGUUUGUGUAGGAUUUUUGGGGAGGAGUUGCAAGGAUUCAAUUAGGUUUUCUUGUUCUUAAAGAUAGGUGAAAUAACUGAGUUGAUAGUCCCUUAAAAGACCCCUCUUGGCCGACUUUGAGGCUUUUAAUUGAGUCCUCUCAUUUUGGCAAGUAGGUGAUGCACCUACUUGUCACCUACCAUCCUGCGCAGUCUCGCAAAAAUACGAGUAUCUCUCUACUCCGACUUCGUAUCAACAAACAAUUUAAUGCUUUAGAUACUAGAAUCAUAGAUAUUUAAUUUGGUAUGUAGAUCAUCCCCUAAUUCCAAGUAUAUUGGGGAAAAAGCUCAGUUACAUUUGACCUAAUUUUCAGCACAUUUAUGAAUGAAACUUGUGAUGAUCUUUUCCAACUUUUGUUUCAUAACUCGCUUGACUUCAAAACAUAACACCAACUAUCAUACGACUAAAAUAACUCAUAUUAUAAUCUCCUUAUAAUGUUAAUAACCCUAGUUUUACCCCAAAAGUACAUGGAAAAAUAUUCCAACUUGUCGACUUUUGACGAAACUUAUUUUCUUCAAUUUGUUUAGCUUCUUAGCCUUUAAACCCUCUUGCUACUUGGUAUUAAAUAUCUUAGAUAUUUGUAACCUCCACGUUAACAUGAUGAACUAACUUUAUAAACUUUUCAAAGAUGAUUCCCUUUUUGAGCUUACAUUAAUUGACUUAUGACGUUCUCUUACGUACGAAAAUAUGGGGUGUAACAAUACCAUUCGUGAGCGACUGUCCAUUUGAGUUUGUGUGUGGUGGUGAAUUUCACAUGGUUGAUUAACGUAUCUUCACUCCCACCAAUGAUCAUUUGUAUAGUACGAGAUGGUGAUAGUGGUUUUAGAGGUCCCUAAGGUUGAUCGCGUCCACGAGAAAAGUUGGCCCAUCCUCGAUUGCUCAGCAGUUCUUUCAGGUAUCACUUGUUUAACAUUCUUACCACUUUCUGUCGCAAACAUAUGCAGUCCUCGGUCUUGUGUCCCCUUUUAUGAUGGAAUUUACAUAGAACAUUCGAUCUCCUCGUGCUCGGAUUCGACUUCAUCUUGUGCGGCCACUACACCUUUGUGGCGAGCUUUUCCAGUGCGUACACUAUUUCUGAAGGAGAAAUACAAAAGUUAUGAGUAGAUAAUAGUGGAGGCAUACCUCUUUCAUUUCAGGGUGGUGCGAUGUGUCGAGGCGCACCAUCUAUAUGUCGUGGAGGAGGUGGGUUGGAUUUUCGGAUAUAGGGCUGGUGCCUUUCUCAAUUGAAACGUGGUAGUUGGUCCCUUCAGCCGUCAUUGCGGUGAUCUCUCCUUGUCUCUGUCUGGACCGAGGUUAGUCAUUGGAUCGGACCGUUCAGGCCAUCCUCAUCUGCCCUCACUUCGGCUCAAUAGGCAUUAUGGAUCUCUUCCCACGUGGUGGGGGGUACUUCAUGAGUCUACUUAGCAGCUUUUUGGUUGCUUUUGACCCAUUUCUAUUUAACCCAUUUUGAAAGGCUGCUACCGCCAUACUUUCUGACACGUUUGGUAUGCUCAUCCUUACCCUGUUGAAUCGGGCUAGGAAAUCCCGAAGUCCUUCAUCUGUCGUUUACCUGACAACGAAGAUAUCAUUUACCCUGGCCUCUGCCUUUUUCGCUCCUGCGUGAGCGGUGACUAACUUAUCUGCCAUUUCUUCGAACGUUCAUAUCGAUCGUGCUGGUAGUUGGGAAUACCAUAUCAACGCUCCUCUUUUCAGAGUUUUGCCAAACUUUUCAGCAGUACUGACGGCACCUGUUCUUUUGAUAGAUCGUUACCUUUUACUAUAGUAACGUAAUGGAUUAAGUGAUCCUCCGGGUCUGUGGUGGCAUCAUAUAUUUUUAGAUAUGGCAGCAUUUUGAAGGUUUUUAGAAUAGAGUGGGAAGCUGCCCCUUCACUAUAUGGUUGUUCGACGAAUCGGCCCACGUCACGUUUUGGUAGCAACUUCGGAGCGCCCGAUAUUUUAUCAACCCUUUCCUGAUGCUCUUUCAUCUGUCGUAGAGUGUUUUGUUCUCAUUUUCCAUCUCUUCCAUUUUCAUUAAGAUGGUCGCAAGUGCAUUGUUGCUUGCAUCAGCGACCGUAUGGGCGUUACUUGUUCGUGUAAUUUCUGGCUCAUCGACGACAGUUGCGGUUUCUGCGGGUAAUGUGUCUUCGAUAUCCCUCUAUACGGGUUUCUCGAGUAUGUUGCUCAAGAUAUUUGUCAGCCAUUCUUCUAAUAGCCUUUUCACGGCUGGUGGUACUUCUCUUGCUGUGGAUGUUAAGGUUUCCCUCUCGCGCGAGACAGUUAAACCCUCUUGGGGGGGUGUGAGAUCUCUCCCUCAGGUGUAGCACUUGAUGUUGCGUUUUUGUUGUCUUCUCCAUUGGCAUCAUUGAGGGAAUUCAGGAGGUUGUUCGUGACACCUACUAUUGCAUUUAGCCUUGUUUCUCCCUUUCCUGCAAUUGUUAGCCUUUGUAAGACUAAAAAGAGGUUAUUAUUUCUUUCAAGAAUCUAGACAAAACUAAGAUCUCAGCUAUAGAAAUCCCCACAGACGGCGCCACAUUGUUUGACUCAAAAGAUAUCGAAAUCUUUUUGAAUAAAUCAAUCAAAGAAAAUGAAGGGGUAAAUCUUAUCUAUGUAUAAUAAUCUCUAGAAAGAAAGAUAGAUAAGGGGAAUACGGAUGAUAAGAAUUCUUUAUCCCAUCUAGACCAAAAGACCUUUCACAAUAAUCUUCUCAAUCUUUUAUGUAAGCAAGUUUACAGCAAGUAUUAUGGAUUAGCAAAAGUGCCUGCCCUUACAAAGUUGUUUCAUGCUAUAUAUAUAUAUAUAUAUAUAUAACGNNNNNNNNNNNNNNNNNNNNNNNNNGUGCAGAUCCAGGUUCUUCUGCUCAGCCAUUCUACCAGUGAGGCGGGCGAUACCAGAGACUUCGAGGUAUAUAUGUCGCGUCCGCAAAUCUAGAAGUCCCUCUCUAUUCUCCCCUCUAGCUUUAGACUUCCUGUACUUACUUUUGAUUAGACAUUCUAGAGUUAGAACACUAUAUAGUUUUUCUACAGUUUGUGAUUUCAUGAGAUUCUGGGUUUUGGGAGUUUGAUUCAAUUUUGAGAGUAUGUAUUGUAUAUGCCGAGCGGCAUUUCCAAACUCUUUACUUAUAUUUUUACUCGUAACUUGCCAGUUUCGUAUUUCAUUUCCUUUUUCCGCAAUUUGUUAGGCUUACCUAGUUGUAGAGACUAGGUAUAGUCACGACAGUUCACGGAGGGAGAACUAGGGUCUUGAAAAGUUAGUAUCAGAGAUCUAGGUUCAUAGAAUGUCAUGAAUCGCAAGCCGAUUUAUUAGAGUCUCACGGAUCGGUACGGAGACGUCUGUACUUAUCUAUGAGAGGCUAUGUAACUAUUAGGAAAAUUCCACUUCAUUUGAUUUCCUUGUUAUGUAAGAGUUUUGAUAUCAAAAUUCUAAACCUCUAUCUUCUAUUCUCUCACAGAUGGCGAGGACACGUGCUACCGGAGAUGAACAGGAACCCGCACCCCCUACUAGAUCCAUCAGUGGUCGGGGCUGGGGUAGAGGCCAAGGACGUGCACGUGGUGCAGCCAGAGCACCCUCGCGAGCUGCCAUAGAGGAGCCACUAGCAACUCCAGCCGGAGCCCAAGCACCUGACACGCCUACUGCUACUACUACUACUCCAGCUCUUCAGGAGACCUUUGCACAGUUCGUGAGCAUGUACACCACUCUAGCUCAGGCAGGGUUAAUUCCCCUUGCUGCAGCCACAUCCCAGGAAAGGGAGGAGCCUAGACUCCCGCCUCCCAUACCCCAGAGCAGCGAGUCCUGGUUAAUUAGAUCCCAGAGGUUAUACCGGUACCGUCUGCAGCCCCAGUUAAGCCCGAGGAUAGGGCAGCAGCUUCGGAGGAUGAGCAGCGGAGGCUUUAGAUGUUCAAGAAGUACAAGCCUCCUAUAUUCAGUGGUCUAGCAUAAGAUGAUGCUCUGGUAUUUCUGGACAAGUUCUAACGUAUCCUCCGCACUAUGGGUAUAUCAGGAUCGAGUGGGGUUUACUUCAGUACCUUCCAUCUUCGAGGAGCAGCGUACCAAUGGCGGCGUACUUAUGAGUUGGAAAGACCAGCUGAGGCACCUUCCCUUAUAUGGACCUAGUUUUCAGAUAUAUUUUGAGGGAGUAUGUUCCUCAAAGCCUUAGGGAUGCAUGACGCGCUAAGUUUGAGCAUUUGCGCCAAGGUGCUAUGAUAGUUUCGGAGCAUGCUGUCCAUUUCACUGACUUGGCUAGGCAUGCAAAAGCCUUGGUUUCUACAGUUCGUGAGAGAGUUCACCGGUUUAUUGAGGGGCUCAUUCCUAGCAUCAAGUCUAGCAUGGCUCGGAAGUUGGAGAUAGAUAUCUCUUAUCAGCAGGUGGUGAGCAUUUCUAGGAGAGUAGAGGGUAUGCAUGCUUGGGAUAGAGAGGAUAGGGAAGCCAAGAGGUCUCGAGGGUCGGGUCAUUAUUCUGGUGCCCGUGCCCCAGUUGCAGUUCAUCAUGGUAGGGGUUAUAUGAGUCGCCCUGUUUAUUCAGCUCUUCUAGCAGCCAGUGGUAUUCCAGCUCCUCCUAGACCCAAAGAGCCUUAUUAUGAACCUCCAGUAUCUAGGCCUCCUACAUGGGGUGCUUUCAGUGGUUAGUCCAGCAGAACUUGAGCGAGCCAGUCACAGCCGCCACUUCCUCCCAGAGCUUGUUUUGAGUGUGGUGACACACACCAUAAGGUGAGAGAUUGCCCCAGACUUAGGAGGGGUGCACCUCCACAGACUUCUGAGCCAUAACAUGCUUCGUAGAGUUCUCAUGCUAUGAUUACAGCACUAGUUGUUGCCCCACCUACCCAACCAGAUAGAGGGGAGGUCGGGGAGGUAGAGGUCUCCCUAGAGGGGGAGGCCAAGCUAGAUAUUAUGCCAUUCCUGCCCAUACUGAGGUUGUCGCCUCCAAUUCUGUCAUCACAUGUAUUGUACUGGUUUAUCAUAUAGAUGCAUCAGUUUUAUUCGAUCUAGGCUCCACUUAUUCUUAUGUGUCCUCUUAUUUUGCCUCGUAUUUGGGCGUACCUCGGAAUUUUUUGAGUUCCCCUGUUUAUGUUUCUACUCCCGUGGGAGAUUCUCUUAUUGAGGACCACGUUUAUCAGUCAUGUUCGAUUGCUCUUAGUGGUUUUGAGACUAGAGCCGAUCUAUUAUUGCUCACCAUGGUAGAUUUAGAUGUUAUCUAGGGCAUGGACCGGUUGUCACCCUAUUAUGCUAUUCUUGCUUGUCUCGCCAAAACCUUGACAUUGGCUAUGCCAAAUGUACUGCGAGUAGAGUCAAGGGGUACCUUAGAUCACACUCCCAGUAGAGUUUUUUCAUUCCUUAAGUCUCAGCGAAUGGUUGACAAGGGUUGUGGCGCAUAUCUAGCUUACGUGACAGAUAUCAGUAUUUAUACCCCUAUAGUUGAUUGAGUCCCAGUAGUAUGGGAUUUCCUUGAUGUGUUUCCAACUGAUCUUCCGGGUAUGCCACCCGACAGCGAUAUUGAUUUCGGCAUUGAUUUGUUGUCGGUCACUCAGCCUAUUUUCAUUCCUCCUUAUCAUAUGGCCCCUCCUGAGUUAAAGGAGUUGAAGGAUAAGUUACAGGAAUUGCUCGAUAAGUGUUUUAUUCAGCCCAGUCACCUUGGGGUGCUCUUGUCUUGUUUGUGAAGAAAAAGGAUGGUUCUAUGCGUAUGUGCAUUGAUUAUCGCCAGUUGAACAAAGUUACAGUGAAGAACCAGUAUCCUUUGACUCGUAUUGAUGAUUUGUUUGACCAGUUAUAAGGUGCUCGAGUGUUUUAUAAGAUUGACUUGCGUUCAGGUUAUCAUUAGUUGAAGAUUCGAGAGCCAGAUAUCCCGAAGACUGCUUUCAAGACUCGGUAUGGUCAUUACGAGUUCCUUGUUAUGUCAUUUGGGCUGACCAAUGCCCCAGCAGCCUUUAUGCAUUUGAUACACAACAUUUUCUGCCAUAUCUUGACUCGUUCAUCAUUGUCUUUAUUGAUGACAUUCUGGUAUACUCCUAGAGUCGGGAGGAUCAUGAGCAGCACCUGAGGACAACGCUUCAGACUUUGAGAGAAAAGAAAUUAUAUGCAAAUUUCUCAAAAUGUAAGUUUUAGUUGGAUUCCGCGAAAUUCUUCGAUCACGUGGUAUCGAAUGAAGGGAUCAAGGUGGAUACAAAGAAGGUGGAGGCGGUAUAGAGUUGGCCCAGACCAUCCUCAACUAUAGAGAUCCGUAGUUUUCUUGGCUUGGCGGGUUAUUACCAUCGAUUUGUUUAGGGAUUUUCAUCUAUUGUAGCACCUAUGACCAAACUGACCCAGAAGGGUGCUCCGUUCCAGUGGACGGAAGAGUGUGAGGAGAUCUUCCAGAAGCUCAAGACAACUUCAGUAUGAUGACCCUCAUUUGCUUAUCCUCAUAGACAAGGUUCUGCAUGGUGAUGCUAGAGAUGUGACCAUUGGUGAUGAUGGUGUAUUGAAGAUGCAAGGUCGAGUAUGUGCACCCAAUGUUGAUGGGCUUCAAGAGUUGAUUCUAGAGGAAGCCCACUGUUUGCGGUAUUCCAUCCAUCUGGGUGCCGCAAAGAUGUACCAAAAUUUGAGACAUCACUAUUGGUGGAGGCGGAUAAAGAAUGAUAUAAUUGGAUUUGUAGCUAGGUGCCUCAAUUGUCAUCAGGUAAAGUAUGAGCACCAGAGACCAGGUGGUUUGCUUCAGCAGAUAGAUAUUCUGGAGUGGAAGUGGCAGCGGAUCACCACGGAUUUCGUAGUUGGACUCUCACAAACUUUGAGAAAGUUCGAUGCCAUUUGGGUGAUUAUGGAUCGGCUGACCAAGUUUGUGCAUUUCAUCCUUUGUGUACCACCUACUCUUCGGAACGGUUGGCGGUGAUUUAUAUCCAGAAGGCUAUUUGUCUGCAUGGUAUUCCAGUUUCCAUCAUUUUAGAUAGAGGUACUUAGUUUACAUCACGGUUCUGGAGGGCCGUACAACAUGAAUUGGAUACUUCGGUGGAGUUGAGCAUAGCAUUUCACCCCCAGACAGACUGACAGUCCGAGCGCACAAUUCAGAUUUUUAAGGGUAUGCGUCGUGCGUGUGUGAUGGAGUUUGGAGGUUCUUGGGAUCAGUUCUUGCCACUAGUGGAGUUUGCCUACAAAAACUGUUAUUAGUCCAACAUUCAGAUGGCACCGUAUGAGGCCUUGUAUGGUAGGCGGUCUAGAUCCCCGGCGGGUUGGUUUGAGCCAGGUGAGGCUAGAUUAUUAGGCACAUACUUGGUUCAAGACGCCUUGGAGAAGGUUAAGGUGAUAUAGGAUAGACUUCGCACAUCCCGGUCCAGAUAGAAGAGUUAUGCGGACCAGAAGGUUCGUGAUGUUUCCUAUAUGGUUGGAGAGCAGGUCUUGCUUCGGGUUUCGCCUAUGAAGGGCGUCAUGAUAUUUGGGAAGAUGGGGAAAUUGAGUCCGGCUUUUAUUUGUCCUUUUGAGGUAUUAUGACGUGUUGGGGAGGUUUCUUAUGAGCUUGCCUUACCUCCCAGCUUGGCAGGAGUUCAUCCGAUAUUUCAUAUUUCGAUGCUUAGAAAGUAUCACGGUGAUCCGUCACAUGUGUUGGAUUUCAGUUCAUUCCAGUUGGACAAGGAUUUAUCUUAUGUGGAGGAUCCAGUGGCGAUAUUGGGUAGGCAAGAUCGAAAGUUGAGGUCAAAGAACAUUGCAUCAAUGAAGGUUCAGUGGCGGGGUCAGCCGGUCGAUUAGGCGACUUGGGAGACCGAACGGGAUAGCGCAGUCAUUACCCUCUUCUUUUCACUACUUCAGAUAUGUUUCUAUGCUCGUUCGAGUACGAACGAAUGUUUUAAGCGGGGGAGGAUGUAACGAUCCGGCCAGUUUUUUUGAGAAUUAACGCCUUGAUCCCCUAUUAACUGCUUUCCCCGGGUUUAUUGUUGCUAUUGUGAGUUGCCGGGAAGUUUUGAGUUUCGAAGUGUUUUGGGACACGUAGUCCCUCAAUGAGAUCUUAAGCUUUAGAAUUUGGACCGUAGUCGGAGCAGUGUGACGACGUCCUCGAAGUGGAAUUCGUAGAUUCUGUUAGCUUCGUUAAGUGAUUUCGGGAUUAAGGGCGUGUUCGGAUUGUGUUUUGGAGGUCUGUGGCUUAUUUAGGCUUGAAAUGCUGAAAGUUGAAUUUUUGAAGUAUUCAGAUUGAUAGUGAGAUUUUUAUAUCGGGGUCAGAAUCCAAUUCCGAAAGUUGGAAUAGCUCUGUAGUGUUGAAUGUGACUUGUGUGCAAAAUUUGGGGUCAAUCAGACAUGGUUUAGUUGGUUUCAGCAUCGGUUGUAGAAUUCUUGAGAUUUCAAGUUCAUUAGGCAUGGAUUGGAGGGUGAAUCAUGGUUUUAGCGUUGUUUGAUGUGAUCUGAGGUUGGAUUAAAUUUGUAUGAUGUUUUAGGAUUGGUUGGCAUGUUUGGUUGAGGUCCCAAGGGCCUCACGUGAGUUUCGGGUGUUUAAUGGAAUUAGAUUUGGACUUAGGCAUUUUCUGAUAUUGCUGAAUCUAUCAUAACCGCACCUGCGUAUGUGGGACGGCAAGUGCGGGACUGCAGAAGCGGCUUGAUGAUCGUAGAAGCAGAUUUAGGCUAGGGCUUCAGGAAUCGCAGGUGCGGCUGGCUGACCGCAAAUGCGGAACCACAGAUGCGGCCAAGUGACCGCAAAUGCGUCCCCAGCCCGGUUAAGUGAAUUUCGCACCUGCGAUGCCUUUUCCGCAGGUGCGUCCCCCCUGACGCAUAUGCGGUAAUCGCUCGGCAGAUAUAGAACUUUUGAGAGUUUGAAGUUCAUAACAUUAAAUUUGAUUUUAGCUCGGGAGAAGGCGAUUUUGAGAGGGUUUUGAAGAGGAAAUCAGUGGGUAACGAUUCCUAACCCUAUUUCGUUUAUAUUUUAUCAAUCUAUUGUUGUUUUACACAUUUAAUCUAAGAAUUUGAGUGGAAGAAUGGGGAUUUGGGGGACAAGUUCCCCAAUUGAAAAUUCGAGUUUUGAGUAAGAUUUGGAGUCGGAUUUUGAUGAUUUUUGUUUGAGUGUGCUCGUGAGUGAAUGGGUGUUCAUAAUUUCUGACUUUUACCCGAUUCCGAGGCUUGGGCCUGGGGAGGAUUGUCGGGCGUUUUUCUAUUUCCUUACCUUAGCUUCGAUUCCUUUAGCUAAAUUUGUUGUUUGUUAUAUUUACAUUAUUAAAUUUAUUUAAUUAGAUUUGGCCCACUAAGAGUUGGAUAAUCGUUGCAAGAGCGUGAUUUCAGAUUUAUUUUGAGUUGGUUCGAGGUAAGUGGUUUGCCUAACCUUGUGUGGGGUGACUCUCCUUAGAAUUUUGGUAUUGUUGUUAUAUGAGUGUCGUAUACGUGAGGUGACGAGUGUGUAAACGUGCUAAUUGUUGAAAAACUCCAUUUUCAUUAAGUAAAUAUCUGCGUUUUCUUCUAAUUGAGAAAUUCUUGUACUUGAAGCCUCUUGUUUAGUUUAGGAAAAGCAUGCUCAUGUGAUCUAAUUGUCUUACUUGCUUUAUCUGCUUACUUGUAUUUUGUGAAACAUGUUUAGAGUAGAAUUCCUAUUUAUUUUCGAAUAGAAUUGUAGGUUCUUUCUUGAGACUGUUGUUUGUUUACUUUGGGACUACGGGACGAUAUCCCGGGAGAUGCCCCUGCAUGUUUACUUUGGGACUACAGAUCGGUAUUCUGAGAGAUCCCCCUGCACGUUUACAUUUGGGACUACGGGACAAUACCCGGAAGAUUCUCCUGUACUAGAUAUUUACUUUGGGCCUACGGAUUGGUAUUCCGGGAGAUUCUCCUACAUAUUUAUGAUUCGGGCUACGAGACGAUAUCAUAGGAGAUCCUCUACACAAUUACAUUAGGAAUUAUGGGACGAUAUCCUCGGAGAUCCCUUGUUGCUAUCUCUAUGUACUGAGUAUAUUAUGUCUGUGAUUUUACUCUUUAUCAAUUGUUAGUAUUUUUAAUUAUACCGUAGCACUUCAUACUAUUUUACCUUGUUUUAUAUGUAUAUAACCAAUAGGGCCCUGACCUUCCUCGUCACUACUCGACCGAGGUUAGGCUUGACACUUAGUGUGUAUCGUUGUAGUGUACUCAUGCCCUUUCCUCCACAUAUUUUUUGUGUGCAGAUCCAGGUUCUUCUGCUCAGCCGUUCUACUAGUGAGGCAAGCGAUAUCAGAGAUUUCAAGGCAUAUCUGCCGCAUCCGCAGAUCCAGAAGUCCAUCUCUAUUCUCCCCUCUAGCUUUAGACAUUCUGUAUUUACUUUUGAUUAGAUAUUCUGGAGUUAGAACACUAUAUAGUUUUUCUACAGCUUGUGAUUUCAUGAGAUUCCGGGUUUUGGGAUUUUGAUUCGGUUUUGAGAUAACGUAUUGUAUAUACCGAGCGGCAUUUUCAAACUCUUUACUUAUGUUUUUACUCGUAACUUGCCAGUUUUGUAUUUCAUUUCCUUUUUUCAAAAUUUGUUAGGCUUACCUAGUUGUAGAGACUAGGUGCCGUCACGAAAGUUCAUGGAGGAUGAACUAGGGUCAUGACAGUUUCACUGGCAAAGUCUUGGAACAAUCUAUCAAAAUGCUUCUGUGCUUCUCCAUCAGACGGCUGGUGCAGCACACCAUCUAGCCUUCUAUAUUCAUAGCGCUAUCUCAUAUGAGGAGCGGAACUCAUUGAUGUAUAAUACCUCUUUAACCUUAGUAUAAGGGGUAAGUAGUGCAUCAACUUCAAUGGAACCUUCUUCUAUUUAGCAUUUGUGACAUCAUUGAAAUAAGGCAGGUUAAAAAAUGUAUUAUUUUCUAAAGCUUCAUCAUCCUUAUAGAAUAACAUGCAACCUUUAUUACAACAAUCAAUCCUCUUCGAUGAAAGACUCAACUUGGAAACUAAUUUCUUUGCCGUGUAAAAAUCUUUGGGCAGGUAAAUCUUUGUCGGAUUAAGUUCAUUCAUAAGGCCAAUGAUAGAAUCCAUGUCACUUGAGAAAUAGAAUUAUCUGAUUUAAUACUUAGUAAUCUAACUGCAACAAACAAUUUGGAAUACAUUGCGCCUUCAUAAAGAGGACAACUAGCUUCCUCUAACUACUUGAAGAAGCUCUUAGCCUCAUCAUUUGGUUUAGAUUGAGCCCCUGGGAACAUCUCAAAAGCAUCCCUCAUCAUUUCAUUGAAUCGAAAUUUUUUUACAUUAUUAUUCCCCGCUAUGGGACUAUCGUCUUCUCCACCAAAAGAAUUUUGAAAAUCAAUAUCAUUUACACUAGCAUGACUCUGCUCAUAAAUAGUCCACUCAUAAUAAUUUACCAUACACCCCUUCUUAUAUAGAUGAACAGUAAUAAUGUCGGAAGCCAAUAACUUAACUCACUUGCAUUUCACACAAGGACACCUAAUCGUCCCUUCAAUAAGGAAAUCAUCAAAUGUCUUUUCUUUACCAAUAAAGCCAGCAACCACUUCUAUAAAUUCUUCCCGCAAACCGUUACGAUUCGCAUGAUUCCUAUUGUACAACCAUCUACGAUGUGUAAAUUCCAUCUACACAUAGAAGAAAAUUAGAAAUUGAAAUAUUUAUGUUAUUUACCCUAAUCAAUAAAUUUUAUUCUUUAAAGGUUACUUAUCUAAAUAGUUUAAUUAUAUAUUUAAGUGUAAUUUGAUAUUUAUCUAUCUGAUUUAGUAAUCUAAAAAGGUUUUUGCAUUCAUCCAUACUCAUUGGUAAACUCAAAAGCAACAACAAGCGUUAAACAUUAUAUUCAAAAAACCUUAGCUUAAUACAAUUUCAAACCAAUGAGAUUAUUAUAUUUAAUAAACUUUAAUCUUACAAUUAUUUUGUAUAUUUACUUCACUAUUGUUUAAAGUAUAGAAGCUACAUAACAUAAAUAAUAUAAAAUACAAUUAAAUCCCUUUGAAAGAUGAAUCAAAAUUAAUGCUAUAAUUAUUCAACACACUACUUAAUGGUAACUGAAUAACAUAUAUACAUUACAAUGUGAAAAUAAAGUCAAAAUUGAAUAGUUUUAUUCCUAAUUUUAUAACAUAUAUAAUUUACCAUACCUUUCGAAGAUUACUCCUAUUGAAGAAGAAUAUAUAUCUCAACUUUCAAAAGAAGAUUAAUUUUAAUGUUACUCAAGGUUAAUUCACUUCUAAUUUUUUUAUUCAAAAGAAGAUUACUUUUAAUGUUACUCAAGGAUCUAAACAAUAGUUAUUCAAAGUCAAAAUUAAAUUAUUCUUCAUUUCAACUCUAAUUUCAAUUCUAAUCAUAUCAAACAAAAAAAUCUACAAUUCAAAUUUUAAUAGCAAUACAAAUAAAAAGAACAAAUAUAUUAACAUUCAAGUCCAGAGAAAGAUGAUGGAAGGACUUACCUCGCCAGAGAAGAUGCAUGCUGCCGGAGAAGACUCACGUUGCCGGAAAAGAUAUAAACACUACCUGAAAAAGAAAAAAAGAGGGGUUAGAAGGGGAGUUGGCCUUGACAGAGAUGAGGCGGAGAGGGAGGAAGGGAAAAAGAGAUAUAUACCGUCGGGCAAUUCGGCAACGACGACGUGGGAUGAACAAGUGGGCAAAGAGAGUGAAGGGGGCUAAGAUAAGAGAAAGAAAAGAGAAAGAGAAUAAAAAAA
This 19917-nucleotide long non-coding RNA is filed under the name Nicotiana tabacum (common tobacco). Its description in RNAcentral is "long non-coding RNA (NTAB_LNC003161)". The record is from RNAcentral. Lineage: Eukaryota; Viridiplantae; Streptophyta; Magnoliopsida; Solanales; Solanaceae.